Molecule: ribosomal RNA, 133 nt
Filed under: uncultured bacterium
Lineage: Bacteria
Description: partial 16S rRNA
Rfam family: Bacterial small subunit ribosomal RNA
Source: RNAcentral
UGGGGAAUAUUGGACAAUGGGGGAAACCUGAUCCAGCGACGCCGUCGUGAGUGAAGAAGUGUUUCGGCAUGUAAAGCUCUAUCAGCAGGGAAGAAAAUGACGGUACUGACUAAGAAGCCCCGGCUAACUACGG